CUCUCGAACAUGCCUCCAUACUUCCGCUUCUCGAAACAAAAUGGAUGACUUCACCGACAUCAAACCUGCGGAUGCGUAUAGAGGGGAAAUGGUUCUUCCACCUGGCGCGCUGCUGCAGGUCAUUUCCUUCGCGCUCUACAAGUAUGUGUGCAUUACUUUUCAGCCUACCCUCGUAUAAUGAGAAAAAUGGUCUUGUUCAUGUAUAUUUUCACUUGUAUUCGUCUUUUCAAUUGAUGUCACAGAUCUCAUUUUUGUUAUAGGUUUAUAUAACUUGGAUAAUGUUGAAAUUGUGAGGGUACUGCAUUUUUUAGUAAGC
Molecule: long non-coding RNA, 316 nt
Filed under: Androctonus crassicauda
Lineage: Eukaryota; Metazoa; Arthropoda; Arachnida; Scorpiones; Buthidae
Source: RNAcentral